GAGAAAGAAAAUAUUGUUAGUUUGGUAAUCUGAAGGGCAUCAUGGAAGAGAUGGCAUUUGAGUUAGGUCUUGGAAAUUGCUAGGAAUUGCUUGGUCUUGAUUUUUUAAAUUAUCUUAAAACAUGUACUACAAAUCCACUGCAUAAAAGAUUAAAAUUGUAAUGAAGAAAAAAAUGAUUUCACCUUUCCAAGGUGAAUAAAAUAUUAACACUGAUAAUAUUUUAGUGUGCUUUCUCAUUCAUCACUUGUGUAUUUUUUAUUAUUUUAUGUGGGACAAGGUGUUAAAUACAACUCUUCCUUUUUACAGGAUGAGGUUUUACAGGAUGCCAAGUGCCACUCUAAAGCAAGGAACUAAACCAUCUAUACAGAAAUUGCAUUUGGGGUGCUCUUUUGCCAGCAUUAUUCCACUUCAUCCUAAAAAAGAAAAGGACACAUCCUGGAUAUCCAUAAGCAGCAGCCAUGUUCCUUUGUUGGAGACACACAUUCUGAAUGUCUGGAGACCACUGCACUAGCAUAAUGUAAGCACUAAUCAACAUGGGCA
This 540-nucleotide long non-coding RNA is filed under the name Homo sapiens (human). RNAcentral describes it as "HSALNT0052342". Lineage: Eukaryota; Metazoa; Chordata; Mammalia; Primates; Hominidae. The record is from RNAcentral.